GUAGAUUUAAAACCAUAUACAGAGCUGGCUAUUCUGGAAGAUGAGAGUAGCCUGAGAAUUUAAGUCCUUAACUACUUCUUUUGUGGUCAUCAUCAUCAUCUAGGAAAGAGUUUGAUCAGCAGAUUUUAAGGCAAUCCCCAUCUACUUUGUGUUACCUCAUGUAAUCCAUGUUUCAUGAUGGUAGAACUCCUUGUUUGAAAGCCUAGAAAAAGAACAGACUGAGAAAAGUGUUAAGGACUAAUGGUGAGAAUCAGAAGAAGGCUUAUGAACCACUUAGGCCCUCAAGAGUAGGGCCUCGGCACAGAAGAGGAUUUCACCUAGUGAUGAAGACAGGGAGGAAAGAAGCGGAAGGAGAAGGAAGAUGUUAAGAUCGCCAGCUGUGCGGAACUGCUGCAAAAUGUUUUUAGGAAGGUGAACGAUUUCACUAGGGCCAAUGAAAC
Molecule: long non-coding RNA, 440 nt
Organism: Mauremys mutica (yellowpond turtle)
Lineage: Eukaryota; Metazoa; Chordata; Testudines; Geoemydidae
Exons: 3
Source: RefSeq, a predicted model, not a curated record